Molecule: ribosomal RNA, 314 nt
Filed under: uncultured eukaryote
Lineage: Eukaryota
Description: partial 18S ribosomal RNA
Rfam family: Eukaryotic small subunit ribosomal RNA
Source: RNAcentral
CCCUUAGAUGUCCUGGGCCGCACGCGCGCUACACUGAUGCAUGCAACGAGUUUAUAACCUUGGCCUGAAAGGUCUGGGUAAUCUUUUGAACGUGCAUCGUGAUAGGGAUAGAUUAUUGCAAUUGUUAAUCUUGAACGAGGAAUUCCUAGUAAACGCGAGUCAUCAGCUCGCAUUGAUUACGUCCCUGCCCUUUGUACACACCGCCCGUCGCUCCUACCGAUUGGGUGAGCCGAUGAAACUCUCGGAUGUAGGCUAUUCAUAGCCCGCAGAAGAGAUUUGAAUCGUAGCGCUUAGAGGAAGGAGAAGUCGUAACA